Molecule: unclassified non-coding RNA, 240 nt
Filed under: soil metagenome
Description: partial contains 5.8S ribosomal RNA, internal transcribed spacer 2, and large subunit ribosomal RNA
Source: RNAcentral
AACGGUCUAUACCUGCGGUACCUGCGGAAGGAUCAUUACAUGGCGGAGAAGGUGGGCAACCUGGCCAACAUCCAGGUUGUGAUGCCUUCACGCUCUUCCACCCUUGUCUAUUUGCACCUUCUGUCGUUCCCUCGGCGGGUUUCGACCCGCCGGCGGCAACAUUGAAAAACCCUUUUUGCAGUUAGCAUUCAAUUCUUCUGAUCAAAUAUUAAAUCAUUACAACUUUUAGCAAUGGAUCUC